RNAcentral lists this ribosomal RNA (501 nucleotides) under uncultured bacterium. RNAcentral describes it as "bacterial SSU rRNA". It matches the Rfam family "Bacterial small subunit ribosomal RNA", at positions 28 to 507 of the family's 1533-position model. The record is from RNAcentral.
GACGAACGCUGGCGGCGUGCCUAAUACAUGCAAGUCGAGCGGAAUGAUGAAGAAGCUUGCUUCUUCUGAUUUUUAGCGGCGGACGGGUGAGUAACGCGUGGGCAACCUACCUUGUAGAUUGGGAUAACUCCGGGAAACCGGGGCUAAUACCGAAUAAUCCAUUUUGCUUCAUGGCGAGAUGUUGAAAGACGGUUUCGGCUGUCACUAUAAGAUGGGCCCGCGGCGCAUUAGCUAGUUGGUAGGGUAAUGGCCUACCAAGGCGACGAUGCGUAGCCGACCUGAGAGGGUGAUCGGCCACACUGGGACUGAGACACGGCCCAGACUCCUACGGGAGGCAGCAGUAGGGAAUCUUCCACAAUGGACGAAAGUCUGAUGGAGCAACGCCGCGUGAGUGAAGAAGGUUUUCGGAUCGUAAAACUCUGUUGUAAGGGAAGAACACGUACGAGAGUAACUGCUCGUACCUUGACGGUACCUUAUUAGAAAGCCACGGCUAACUACGUG